RNAcentral lists this ribosomal RNA (429 nucleotides) under Chloroflexota bacterium. Its description in RNAcentral is "Chloroflexi bacterium partial 16S ribosomal RNA". It matches the Rfam family "Bacterial small subunit ribosomal RNA", at positions 355 to 776 of the family's 1533-position model. Lineage: Bacteria; Bacillati; Chloroflexota. The record is from RNAcentral.
UGGGGAAUAUUGCACAAUGGGCGCAAGCCUGAUGCAGCCAUGCCGCGUGUGUGAAGAAGGCCUUCGGGUUGUAAAGCACUUUCAGCGGGGAGGAAGGCGAUAAGGUUAAUAACCUUGUCGAUUGACGUUACCCGCAGAAGAAGCACCGGCUAACUCCGUGCCAGCAGCCGCGGUAAUACGGAGGGUGCAAGCGUUAAUCGGAAUUACUGGGCGUAAAGCGCACGCAGGCGGUCUGUCAAGUCGGAUGUGAAAUCCCCGGGCUCAACCUGGGAACUGCAGUCGAUACUGGCAAGCUAGAGUUGUGUAGAGGGGGGUGGAAUUUCAGGUGUAGCGGUGAAAUGCGUAGAGAUCCGGAGGAAUUCCGGUGGCGAAGGCGGCCCCCUGGACCAAGACUGACGCUUAGGUGCGAAAGCGUGGGGAGCAAACAGG